Molecule: ribosomal RNA, 565 nt
Filed under: Streptomyces sp. 411B02
Lineage: Bacteria; Bacillati; Actinomycetota; Actinomycetes; Kitasatosporales; Streptomycetaceae
Description: bacterial SSU rRNA
Rfam family: Bacterial small subunit ribosomal RNA
Source: RNAcentral
UAGUGGCGAACGGGUGAGUAACACGUGGGCAAUCUGCCCUGCACUCUGGGACAAGCCCUGGAAACGGGGUCUAAUACCGGAUACGAGUUUCACAGGCAUCUGUGAUGCUGGAAAGCUCCGGCGGUGCAGGAUGAGCCCGCGGCCUAUCAGCUUGUUGGUGAGGUAACGGCUCACCAAGGCGACGACGGGUAGCCGGCCUGAGAGGGCGACCGGCCACACUGGGACUGAGACACGGCCCAGACUCCUACGGGAGGCAGCAGUGGGGAAUAUUGCACAAUGGGCGAAAGCCUGAUGCAGCGACGCCGCGUGAGGGAUGACGGCCUUCGGGUUGUAAACCUCUUUCAGCAGGGAAGAAGCGAGAGUGACGGUACCUGCAGAAGAAGCGCCGGCUAACUACGUGCCAGCAGCCGCGGUAAUACGUAGGGCGCAAGCGUUGUCCGGAAUUAUUGGGCGUAAAGAGCUCGUAGGCGGCUUGUCGCGUCGGUUGUGAAAGCCCNGGGGCUUAACCCCGGGUCUGCAGUCGAUACGGGCAGGCUAGAGUUCGGUAGGGGAGAUCGGAAUUCCU